Long non-coding RNA from Sinocyclocheilus rhinocerous, 573 nucleotides. RefSeq lists it as uncharacterized. Lineage: Eukaryota; Metazoa; Chordata; Actinopteri; Cypriniformes; Cyprinidae. The record is from RefSeq and is a predicted model, not a curated record. The transcript has 3 exons.
AAAGAAAAAUAUUUAUUUUAUUUCUUUAUGAGUUCCGUGCGCGUCGCCGUUGUGACAUCACUGGCGCGCUGCGCGCUUUUGCUUCAGUCCGCGGGAGGUCUGAGCAGAGCGAGGUAUGCAUUUUGUUCAGUCUUGUUCAGAAGCGUGUUCAAAGGGAAAUAAUCACCAAUUACUUGAUUAGUGUUUUGUUAGGAUGUGCAAAUGAGUUACAUGAAUAUGUUACCUUUUCUUAGAACUGAGUUUAAAGCCGUUUUAACCUGCAAAAGUGUAGUUUUAGCCGAGAGAAUGCAGUGUGAUGUUGUCAGCGUGAAAAUUAGCCUGUGAAAGUUAGCCUAUGAAGCGUGGCUGCUGAUUUCUCUUUUUUUGUGUGAAUGUGUAGCAGGAGCAGGCUUGAUUGUACAACGAAUAAUUAACUGCAUGUUUUCUACUGAUGCAGAGCACUCAAUAUAAAAGGCAACUGAACCAGCAGACUGACUCCAGUGUUUAUUCCUCACCCCACAUCACAACGCAGAGGGGUAGUCGAGCCGUGAGGGCUGAACCGGCUACAUUGGCAUAGCAACUUUGGACACUUUC